Molecule: ribosomal RNA, 374 nt
Filed under: uncultured organism
Description: partial 16S ribosomal RNA
Rfam family: Bacterial small subunit ribosomal RNA
Source: RNAcentral
GUAGGUGGCAAGCGUUGUCCGGAAUUAUUGGGCGUAAAGCGCGCGCAGGCGGGUUCUUUAAGUCUGAUGUGAAAGCCCACGGGCUCAACCGUGGAGGGUCAUUGGAAACUGGAGAACUUGAGUACAGAAGAGGAAAGCGGAAUUCCACGUGUAGCGGUGAAACGCGUAGAGAUGUGGAGGAACACCAGUGGCGAAGGCGGCUUUCUGGUCUGUAACUGACGCUGAGGCGCGAAAGCGUGGGGAGCAAACAGGAUUAGAUACCCUGGUAGUCCACGCCGUAAACGAUGAGUGCUAAGUGUUAGGGGGUUUCCGCCCCUUAGUGCUGCAGCUAACGCAUUAAGCACUCCGCCUGGGGAGUACGGCCGCAAAGGCUG